This 492-nucleotide ribosomal RNA is filed under the name uncultured bacterium. RNAcentral describes it as "partial 16S ribosomal RNA". It matches the Rfam family "Bacterial small subunit ribosomal RNA", at positions 29 to 507 of the family's 1533-position model. The record is from RNAcentral.
AGUGAACGCUGGCGGUAGGCCUAACACAUGCAAGUCGAACGGCAGCACAGUAAGAGCUUGCUCUUACGGGUGGCGAGUGGCGGACGGGUGAGGAAUACAUCGGAAUCUACUUUUUCGUGGGGGAUAACGUAGGGAAACUUACGCUAAUACCGCAUACGACCUACGGGUGAAAGCAGGGGAUCUUCGGACCUUGCGCGAUUGAAUGAGCCGAUGUCGGAUUAGCUAGUUGGCGGGGUAAAGGCCCACCAAGGCGACGAUCCGUAGCUGGUCUGAGAGGAUGAUCAGCGACACUGGAACUGAGACACGGUCCAGAGUCCUACGGGAGGCAGCAGUGGGGAAUAUUGGACAAUGGGCGGAAGCCUGAUCCAGCCAUACCGCGUGGGUGAAGAAGGCCUUCGGGUUGUAAAGCCCUUUUGUUGGGAAAGAAAAGCAGCAGGUUAAUACCCCGCUGUUCUGACGGUAACCAAAGAAUAAGCACCGGCUAACUUCGUG